CUUCGGUCCCGGCCCGGUUCCCGGGGCGGAGGCGGCUCUCGGCCGUUUCCCGGUCUUCGGGUGGUUCGGGGGCUUCGGCCGAGGUCC
This 87-nucleotide transfer RNA is filed under the name Streptomyces minutiscleroticus. Its description in RNAcentral is "tRNA-Glu". The record is from RNAcentral. Lineage: Bacteria; Bacillati; Actinomycetota; Actinomycetes; Kitasatosporales; Streptomycetaceae.